AACUCAGAGACAUCCUGAAGGAGCAC
Molecule: small RNA, 26 nt
Filed under: Bombyx mori (domestic silkworm)
Lineage: Eukaryota; Metazoa; Arthropoda; Insecta; Lepidoptera; Bombycidae
Description: ovarian small RNA-10427
Source: RNAcentral